GCGCUUGUAGCUCAGUUGGAUAGAGCACGGGCCUCCGACGCCCGGUGCCGUUGGUUCGAAUCCAAUCAGGCGCACCA
Molecule: transfer RNA, 77 nt
Filed under: Clostridia bacterium
Lineage: Bacteria; Bacillati; Bacillota; Clostridia
Description: tRNA-Arg
Rfam family: tRNA
About the family: Transfer RNA (tRNA) molecules are approximately 80 nucleotides in length. Their secondary structure includes four short double-helical elements and three loops (D, anti-codon, and T loops). Further hydrogen bonds mediate the characteristic L-shaped molecular structure. tRNAs have two regions of fundamental functional importance: the anti-codon, which is responsible for specific mRNA codon recognition, and the 3' end, to which the tRNAs corresponding amino acid is attached (by aminoacyl-tRNA synthetases). tRNAs cope with the degeneracy of the genetic code in two manners: having more than one tRNA (with a specific anti-codon) for a particular amino acid; and 'wobble' base-pairing, i.e. permitting non-standard base-pairing at the 3rd anti-codon position.
Source: RNAcentral